AUGUCAUGCUAUUGUAAUAGAAAAAGGGAGAAGGUUUGGAUCCAUUAAAACGUUUAAUCCCGCUGCAAAUGUUUGGACCUGUCCUAAGUCAGGAAUCUGAUGUACAGUAGUUGUCGUUUGUUAAUGUAAUUUAUACGUGUUUCUCGUUUCUCGUUUUUUUAUAUAUAUUAGACCGUUGGUUUUCCCGUUUGAAUGGUUUUAAACUAGUAAUUUUGGGGCUCUUUAUAGCUUGUUGUUCGGUGUGAGCCAAGGCUCCGUGUUGAAGGCCGUACAUUGACCUAUAAUGGUUUACUUUUUUUAAAAUUGUUAUUUGGAUGGAGAGUUGUCUCAUUGGCACUCACACCACAUCUUCCUAUAUCUA
This 361-nucleotide long non-coding RNA is filed under the name Mytilus galloprovincialis (Mediterranean mussel). The record is from RNAcentral. Lineage: Eukaryota; Metazoa; Mollusca; Bivalvia; Mytilida; Mytilidae.